AGCGAACGCUGGCGGCAGGCUUAACACAUGCAAGUCGAGCGGGCGUAGCAAUACGUCAGCGGCAGACGGGUGAGUAACGCGUGGGAACAUACCUUUUGGUUCGGAACAACACAGGGAAACUUGUGCUAAUACCGGAUAAGCCCUUACGGGGAAAGAUUUAUCGCCGAAAGAUUGGCCCGCGUCUGAUUAGCUAGUUGGUGAGGUAAUGGCUCACCAAGGCGACGAUCAGUAGCUGGUCUGAGAGGAUGAUCAGCCACAUUGGGACUGAGACACGGCCCAAACUCCUACGGGAGGCAGCAGUGGGGAAUAUUGGACAAUGGGCGCAAGCCUGAUCCAGCCAUGCCGCGUGAGUGAUGAAGGCCCUAGGGUUGUAAAGCUCUUUUACCCGGGAA
Molecule: ribosomal RNA, 392 nt
Filed under: uncultured bacterium
Lineage: Bacteria
Description: bacterial SSU rRNA
Rfam family: Bacterial small subunit ribosomal RNA
Source: RNAcentral